UAGGGAAUAUUGCACAAUGGGGGAAACCCUGAUGCAGCGACGCCGCGUGAGUGAUGAAGGCCUUCGGGUCGUAAAGCUCUGUCGUAUGGGACUAACAAAAUGAAGGUACCAUGCAAGAAAGGAUCGGCUAACUUCGUGCCAGCAGCCGCGGUAAGACGAGGGAUCCUAGCGUUGUUCGGAAUUAUUGGGCGUAAAGCGGGUGUAGGCGGACUUAUAAGUCAGGUGUGAAAUCCCAGGGCUCAACCCUGGAAGUGCACUUGAUACUAUUAAGCUAGAGUAUUGGAGAGGGCAGUGGAAUUCCUGGUGUAGUGGUGAAAUACGUAGAUAUCAGGAGGAACACCUGUGGCGAAGGCGGCUGCCUGGCCAAAUACUGACGCUGAGAUACGAAAGCGUGGGUAGCAAACAGGAUUAGAUACCCAUGUAGUCCCUGAGCGGGCUGGCAAGGCGCAU
RNAcentral lists this ribosomal RNA (450 nucleotides) under uncultured bacterium. RNAcentral describes it as "bacterial SSU rRNA". It matches the Rfam family "Bacterial small subunit ribosomal RNA", at positions 355 to 825 of the family's 1533-position model. The record is from RNAcentral.